UCUAUAGGAAGAUAUUGGAGGAGCAGAUCUCCUGAUCUCAGGUGUUGUCUAUAGGAAGAUAUUGGAGGAGCGGAUCCCUCAGAUCUCAGGUGUUGUCUAUAGGAAGAUAUUGGAGGAGCGGAUCCCUCAGAUCUCAGGUGUUGUCUAUGGGAAGAUAUUGGAGGAGCGGAUCCCUCAGAUCUCAGGUGUUGUCUAUAGGAAGAUAUUGGAGGAGCGGAUCCCUCAGAUCUCAGGUGUUGUCUAUGGGAAGAUAUUGGAGGAGCGGAUCCCUCAGAUCUCAGGUGUUGUCUAUAGGAAGAUAUUGGAGGAGCGGAUCCCUCAGAUCUCAGGUGUUGUCUAUAGGAAGAUAUUGGAGGAGCAGAUCUCCUGAUCUCAGGUGUUGUCUAUAGGAAGAUAUUGGAGGAGCGGAUCCCUCAGAUCUCAGGUGUUGUCUUUGGGAAGAUAUUGGAGGAGCAGAUCUCCUGACCUCAGGUGUUGUCUAUAGGAAGAUAUUGGAGGAGCGGAUCCCUCAGAUCUCAGGUGUUGUCUAUAGGAAGAUAUUGGAGGAGCGGAUCCCUCAGAUCUCAGGUGUUGUCUAUAGGAAGAUAUUGGAGGAG
Long non-coding RNA from Rana temporaria (common frog), 596 nucleotides. RefSeq lists it as uncharacterized. The transcript is spliced from 3 exons. The record is from RefSeq and is a predicted model, not a curated record. NCBI's taxonomy places the organism in Eukaryota, Metazoa, Chordata, Amphibia, Anura, Ranidae.